CCCGCCACUGCACCUGAUCAGUUCUCUGUUGGCUGGUGCAAUCCAGUGGUGAGCUGAUAGUAAACCCCAGCUUAGGAAACAGAGUUGUUCUUCAUGUGGAUGACUCUGUGCCGAAAGCAUGGGAACAGCC
Small nucleolar RNA from Loxodonta africana (African savanna elephant), 130 nucleotides. Ensembl annotates it as small nucleolar RNA SNORA65. Its record names the gene SNORA65. The record is from Ensembl. Lineage: Eukaryota; Metazoa; Chordata; Mammalia; Proboscidea; Elephantidae.